UACAGAGGUCUCAAGCGUUGUUCGGAUUCAUUGGGCGUAAAGGGUGCGUAGGCGGCGCGGUAAGUCGGGUGUGAAAUCUCGGAGCUUAACUCCGAAACUGCAUUCGAUACUGCCGUGCUUGAGGACUGGAGAGGAGACUGGAAUUUACGGUGUAGCGGUGAAAUGCGUAGAUAUCGUAAGGAAGACCAGUGGCGAAGGCGGACUACCUGGCCGUGUUCGUUGACGCUGAGGCGCGAAAGACUAGGGGGAGCAAACGGG
This 258-nucleotide ribosomal RNA is filed under the name uncultured bacterium. RNAcentral's name for it is "partial 16S ribosomal RNA". It matches the Rfam family "Bacterial small subunit ribosomal RNA", at positions 524 to 776 of the family's 1533-position model. The record is from RNAcentral.